This 73-nucleotide transfer RNA is filed under the name Tetranychus urticae (two-spotted spider mite). Its description in RNAcentral is "tRNA tetur11g06348". It matches the Rfam family "tRNA". Rfam says of the family: Transfer RNA (tRNA) molecules are approximately 80 nucleotides in length. Lineage: Eukaryota; Metazoa; Arthropoda; Arachnida; Trombidiformes; Tetranychidae. RNAcentral also lists the same sequence under 1 other name. The record is from Rfam by way of RNAcentral.
GCCCGGUUAGCUCAGUCGGUAGAGCAUGAGGCUCUUAACCUCAGGGUCGUGGGUUCGAGCCCCACAUUGGGCG